RNAcentral lists this ribosomal RNA (164 nucleotides) under Pericampylus glaucus. Its description in RNAcentral is "5.8S ribosomal RNA". It matches the Rfam family "5.8S ribosomal RNA". Rfam says of the family: 5.8S ribosomal RNA (5.8S rRNA) is a component of the large subunit of the eukaryotic ribosome. It is transcribed by RNA polymerase I as part of the 45S precursor that also contains 18S and 28S rRNA. Functionally, it is thought that 5.8S rRNA may be involved in ribosome translocation. The record is from RNAcentral. Lineage: Eukaryota; Viridiplantae; Streptophyta; Magnoliopsida; Ranunculales; Menispermaceae.
UGAACGACUCUCGGCAACGGAUAUCUCGGCUCUCGCAUCGAUGAAGAACGUAGCGAAAUGCGAUACUUGGUGUGAAUUGCAGAAUCCCGUGAACCAUCGAGUCUUUGAACGCAAGUUGCGCCCGAGGCCACUGGGUCGAGGGCACGUCUGCCUGGGCGUCGUGC